Molecule: ribosomal RNA, 193 nt
Filed under: uncultured bacterium
Lineage: Bacteria
Description: partial 16S ribosomal RNA
Rfam family: Bacterial small subunit ribosomal RNA
Source: RNAcentral
AAAUUACGCCUUCAUGAAGCUGGAAUUGCUAGUAAUGGCAGGUCAGCAUACUGCCGUGAAUACGUUCCCGGGCCUUGUACACACCGCCCGUCACACCAUGAGAGUUGGAAAUACCCGAAGCCUGUGAGCUAACUUAAAGAGGCAGCAGUCGAAGGUAGAGCCAAUGAUUGGGGUGAAGUCGUAACAAGGUAAC